This 74-nucleotide transfer RNA is filed under the name Chloroflexota bacterium. RNAcentral describes it as "Chloroflexi bacterium (groundwater metagenome) tRNA-Pro". It matches the Rfam family "tRNA". From Rfam's summary of the family: Transfer RNA (tRNA) molecules are approximately 80 nucleotides in length. Their secondary structure includes four short double-helical elements and three loops (D, anti-codon, and T loops). Further hydrogen bonds mediate the characteristic L-shaped molecular structure. tRNAs have two regions of fundamental functional importance: the anti-codon, which is responsible for specific mRNA codon recognition, and the 3' end, to which the tRNAs corresponding amino acid is attached (by aminoacyl-tRNA synthetases). tRNAs cope with the degeneracy of the genetic code in two manners: having more than one tRNA (with a specific anti-codon) for a particular amino acid; and 'wobble' base-pairing, i.e. permitting non-standard base-pairing at the 3rd anti-codon position. Lineage: Bacteria; Bacillati; Chloroflexota. The record is from RNAcentral.
CGGGGUGUGGCGCAGUUGGCUAGCGCACGUGGUUUGGGACCACGAGGUCGCCGGUUCAAGUCCGGCCGCCCCGA